This 494-nucleotide ribosomal RNA is filed under the name uncultured bacterium. Its description in RNAcentral is "partial 16S ribosomal RNA". It matches the Rfam family "Bacterial small subunit ribosomal RNA", at positions 28 to 507 of the family's 1533-position model. The record is from RNAcentral.
GACGAACGCUGGCGGCGUGCUUAACACAUGCAAGUCGAACGGAAAGGCCUGCUUUCCCUUGUGGAUUGCGGGUACUCGAGUGGCGAACGGGUGAGUAACACGUGAGUGAUCUGCCCCCAACUUGGGUAUAAGCCUGGGAAACUGGGUCUAAUUCCCGAUAGGACUGCAGGGUGGUGCCUGUGGUGGAAAACGAUUUUCUAGUGGUUGGGGAUGAGCUCGCGGCCUAUCAGCUUGUUGGUGGGGUAAUGGCCUACCAAGGCGGCGACGGGUAGCCGGCCUGAGGGGGUGGACGGCCACAUUGGGACUGAGAGACGGCCCAGACUCCUACGGGAGGCAGCAGUGGGGAAUAUUGCACAAUGGGCGGAAGCCUGAUGCAGCGACGCCGCGUGGGGGAUGACGGCCUUCGGGUUGUAAACUCCUUUCGACCGCGAGGAAGCCACCUGGUUGGAAGGGUGGUGACGGUAGUGGUAGAAGAAGCACCGGCUAACUACGUG